CGGGGUGAGUAACGCGUGGGUAACCUGCCUCAUACAGGGGGAUAACGAUUGGAAACGAUUGCUAAUACCGCAUAAGCGCACAGUACCACAUGGUGCAGUGUGAAAAACUCCGGUGGUAUGAGAUGGACCCGCGUCUGAUUAGCUAGUUGGUGAGGUAACGGCCCACCAAGGCAACGAUCAGUAGCCGACCUGAGAGGGUGACCGGCCACAUUGGGACUGAGACACGGCCCAG
This 232-nucleotide ribosomal RNA is filed under the name uncultured bacterium. RNAcentral's name for it is "partial 16S ribosomal RNA". It matches the Rfam family "Bacterial small subunit ribosomal RNA", at positions 104 to 334 of the family's 1533-position model. The record is from RNAcentral.